UUUAUUUCCGUUUUUAUAUUUGUGUACCUGUGUGGCGAGUCCGAUCCAGGUGAUCUGCUUUCCUUCGGUACCUCUCCUGUGAAUUCAACAGCAUGUCAGACUGGGCAGGGGAAGUGUAGUAUCAUGGAGGCUUGUUCUUGGGUCCCAGGUUCGAUUCCUGUGCAGUUGUGUGUGGAGUCUGCAUUCAUCUGAGUUGUCUCCAGGUGCUCCAGUUUCCUGACAGCUCUGAACUGGUGCCUGUAAAGUGCUGCUGUGUGUGUGUCAUCGAGUCAAGAUGCAGGGGUGAGAGAACCUGCAGAGUAGCUCAGUCCACAGGCUGAUUGUGAAACAUGGUGUACGACGUGGCCAGAGCAGACACUGCAGGGCUGAGACAGGACUGGUGGAGUCAGUGGACAAUGGGUGGCAACAGAAACUUGCUGUGCAUAUUCUACCCUCUGGAAUCAGUCCAGAAAUGACAGACAAGAUGCAUUCCUGGUGUAUAAGGAAUGUCUCACAUUGACAGGCUGACGGAUCUGAGCUUUUUAAGUGCUGAAAGGAGAAGAUUACAACAAGACUCGACUCUACAUAAUCCUCAAAGCUUUGACAAAGUCAGCCCAACAGACUUCUUCAGGGCACACAUGGAAACUACAGGGACGUACAGUUAGAACUGAGAGCAGGAGGCAGUUCUUUACAUAAAGGGUGCUGGUAGCAUGGAACAAUCAACCCAGCCAUGCUGUUGAUGCUGAUGUCUGGGUUUUCUUCCAGGAAACAGCUGUGAGAUCCUUAGAUUAAUUAGCUACAAGCAACCAGGCAGGAUAUGUGUGCAAAACAGCCUCAUCUCAUUUGCAACCUUUACGAUGUGUUUUAAAUUUCUAAAUAAUAAAAUAAACAUACAUCAAUGUCA
Long non-coding RNA from Lepisosteus oculatus (spotted gar), 883 nucleotides. RefSeq lists it as uncharacterized. NCBI's taxonomy places the organism in Eukaryota, Metazoa, Chordata, Actinopteri, Semionotiformes, Lepisosteidae. The record is from RefSeq and is a predicted model, not a curated record.